AAGCCGAAAGGCGGCUUCCGCCUCCGCUGUAGCAGCGGUGCGGCCGGGCGCGGCAAGCUGAGAAUGAGUUGAGUGUCUGAUUGGUUCGCGGCCGGUGAGGGAGGCAGGACUCGAAAGUUUCUUUGCCCAAAUGGCGAGAUGGGAAGGUGCUCGGGGGUGAACCGAUCGCUGCGCAGAUAACAGAUUAGCCUGCCUGUAUGGAAUGGGGAAGGUAAUCGGCUUUGGUUGAAGGCAGGCUUGUGGCUGCCGCUGCUGCUUUGAAUCAGCAAGUGUAGAUUCAGAUGCCAGAGCAUACAUCGAUUAUUUCUGCUUGCAAGGCUGCUGAGCUGUGACUUUUGAAGCCGAUUUUAAAAUACACACAUUAAGGCUUCUGAAAGAAAGGUCGGGAAUGUAACCAGAGAAGCUCCUGAGGCCAUGCUCAGUGAGUGCUCUGGCAGCGGCAACCUCACUCCAUCGGUACCCUGGAAAAGUCCCAGUGCAAUGUGUUCUCAUUUGAGAGAGGAGAAGAAAGAAGAAAAACAAUCAAAACCAAACAAGCUGAAGAAAAUAUUAUUCCAAACAUUGCAAAAGUGUAUUAAUUAGAAACUUCAAUGCUACAUAGGUUUGCAGAGAAAACGUGUUUCUAAAUGUAUAGGUUUUCGUGGGGAUGUUGUGAGGCUGCU
Pogoniulus pusillus (Red-fronted tinkerbird) is the source of this 662-nucleotide long non-coding RNA. RefSeq lists it as uncharacterized. NCBI's taxonomy places the organism in Eukaryota, Metazoa, Chordata, Aves, Piciformes, Lybiidae. The record is from RefSeq and is a predicted model, not a curated record. The transcript is spliced from 2 exons.